Molecule: ribosomal RNA, 253 nt
Filed under: uncultured bacterium
Lineage: Bacteria
Description: partial 16S ribosomal RNA
Rfam family: Bacterial small subunit ribosomal RNA
Source: RNAcentral
UACGGAGGGGGCUAGCGUUGUUCGGAAUUACUGGGCGUAAAGCGCACGUAGGCGGCUUUGUAAGUUAGAGGUGAAAGCCCGGAGCUCAACUCCGGAAUUGCCUUUAAGACUGCAUCGCUUGAAUCAUGGAGAGGUGAGUGGAAUUCCGAGUGUAGAGGUGAAAUUCGUAGAUAUUCGCAAGAACACCAGUGGCGAAGGCGGCUCACUGGCCCGUAACUGACGCUGAGGCACGAAAGCGUGGGGAGCAAACAGG